UGGGGAAUCUUGCGCAAUGGGGGAAACCCUGACGCAGCGACGCCGCGUGCGGGAUGAAGGCCUUCGUGUUGUAAACCGCUUGCAGCAGGGACGAGGCCUUAUGGUGACGGUACCUGCAGAAGAAGCCCCGGCUAAAUACGUGCCAGCAGCCGCGGUAAUACGUAUGGGGCGAGCGUUGUCCGGAAUUAUUGGGCGUAAAGGGUACGUAGGCGGUCUAUUAAGUUAGGGGUGAAAGCGUGAGGGUUAACCUCAUUAAGCACUUGAAACUGAUAGGAUUGAGUGAAGGAGAGGAAAGUGGAAUUCCUAGUGUAGAGGUGAAAUGCGUGGAUAUUAGGAGGAGUACCGGUGGCGAAGGCGACUUUCUGGACUUUUACUGACGCUCAGGUACGAAAGAGUGGGGAGCAAACAGG
Molecule: ribosomal RNA, 410 nt
Filed under: Verrucomicrobiota bacterium
Lineage: Bacteria; Pseudomonadati; Verrucomicrobiota
Description: Verrucomicrobia bacterium partial 16S ribosomal RNA
Rfam family: Bacterial small subunit ribosomal RNA
Source: RNAcentral